Molecule: long non-coding RNA, 372 nt
Organism: Carassius gibelio (silver crucian carp)
Lineage: Eukaryota; Metazoa; Chordata; Actinopteri; Cypriniformes; Cyprinidae
Exons: 3
Source: RefSeq, a predicted model, not a curated record
AGUCAAGGUUUGGAGGCUCACAUGUGGCAGCAGCAAAACCUAAUUUGAGCACCCAGAGGAAAACCUCUCAGAUGUUAGAGCACUCCAGUUCAGCUACAGUUUCAUGUCCACCCUCUGAUCCUCAUCCUCCUCCAUCCCCCAAACCUCAUCAGCCCGUCAUCCAGUCCUCCUCUUCCUUCUUCCUUCCUCCACCUCAGAGUUCACAACGCAUCAAAAAAACAGCAACGCCAUCAACUGUUUCUGAGAAUACUGUUGUGAGGAGCCCACAGGUCUCAUCUCAGCCAGAAGAUCUCCCCCUUCUGUGGCCACAGACAAUGCCACAGCAAGACCAGAAGUGGGUGUCAGAAGCACUUUUUAGGGUACAGUUGUGGU